RNAcentral lists this ribosomal RNA (302 nucleotides) under uncultured bacterium. Its description in RNAcentral is "partial 16S ribosomal RNA". It matches the Rfam family "Bacterial small subunit ribosomal RNA", at positions 508 to 807 of the family's 1533-position model. The record is from RNAcentral.
GCAGCAGCCGCGGGAAAACAGAGGGUGCGAGCGUUAAUCGGAUUUACUGGGCGUAAAGCGUGCGUAGGCGGCUUCUUAAGUCGGAUGUGAAAUCCCUGAGCUUAACUUAGGAAUUGCAUUCGAUACUGGGAAGCUAGAGUAUGGGAGAGGAUGGUAGAAUUCCAGGUGUAGCGGUGAAAUGCGUAGAGAUCUGGAGGAAUACCGAUGGCGAAGGCAGCCAUCUGGCCUAAUACUGACGCUGAGGUACGAAAGCAUGGGGAGCAAACAGGAUUAGAUACCCGCGUAGUCCCUGUCUCUUAUAC